RNAcentral lists this ribosomal RNA (497 nucleotides) under uncultured bacterium. Its description in RNAcentral is "partial 16S ribosomal RNA". It matches the Rfam family "Bacterial small subunit ribosomal RNA", at positions 28 to 507 of the family's 1533-position model. The record is from RNAcentral.
GAUGAACGCUGGCGGCGUGCCUAAUACAUGCAAGUCGAGCGAACAGACGAGGAUCUUGCUCCUCUGACGUUAGCGGCGGACGGGUGAGUAACACGUGGAUAACCUACCUAUAAGACUGGGAUAACUUCGGGAAACCGGAGCUAAUACCGUAUAAUAUAUUGAAGCGCAUGGUUCAAUAGUGAAAGACGGUGUUUCUGGCACUUAUAGAUGGAUCCGCGCCGCAUUAGCUAGUUGUUAAGGUAACGGCUUACCAAGGCAACGAUGCGUAGCCGACCGGAGAGGGUGAUCGGCCACACUGGAACUGAGACACGGUCCAGACUCCUACGGGAGGCAGCAGUAGGGAAUCUUCCGCAAUGGGCGAAAGCUUGACGCAGCAACGCCGCGUGAGUGAUGAAGGUCUUCGGAUCGUAAAACUCUGUUAUUAGGGAAGAACAACUGUGUAAGUAACCAUGGCCGUCUUGACGGUACCUAAUCAGAAAGCCCCGGCUAACUACGUG